This 164-nucleotide ribosomal RNA is filed under the name uncultured bacterium. RNAcentral describes it as "partial 16S rRNA". It matches the Rfam family "Bacterial small subunit ribosomal RNA", at positions 355 to 511 of the family's 1533-position model. The record is from RNAcentral.
UAGGGAAUCUUCCACAAUGGGCGAAAGCCUGAUGGAGCAACGCCGCGUGUGUGAUGAAGGGCUUCGGCUCGUAAAACACUGUUGUAAGAGAAGAAUGACAUUGAGAGUAACUGUUCAAUGUGUGACGGUAUCUUACCAGAAAGGAACGGCUAAAUACGUACCAG